GACGGGCGGGCCCACCAGGGGUGGAGCCUGCUUCUUAAUUUGACUCAACACGGGUCACCUCACCCGGACCGGACACCGUAAGGAUUGACGGACUGUCUUUUCUUUCUUGGUGGGGGGGGGGGCGUGGCCUGGCUCGUUUGGGGUUGGUGGAGCUCUUUUUCGGGUUAAUUCCGAAAACGACCGAGACUUGGGCUAAUAAAAUAGACGAUUAUCUAUCGAGGCUUAGGGAAUAGAGAGGGGGGGCGCCGACCUACCGCAUGAAAUAGAGUAAUAGCUGGUCUGUGAUGGCCUUAGAUGCCCGGCGCUGCGCGCUAGCUACACUGAAAGGUCCGUGUGCGUUUUACCUAGUACGGCAGACCCGGAUUACCCGAGUGAAUUCUGUCGGGGUUGGGGAUAUGGUAUUGCUAUUAUUUCCCUUGAACGAGGAAUUCCCGGUAGAUGCGGGUCAUAUGCUCGCGUUGAUUACGUCCCUGCCCUUUGUACACACCGCCCGUCGCUACUACCGAUUGGAUGACUUAA
This 519-nucleotide ribosomal RNA is filed under the name uncultured eukaryote. RNAcentral's name for it is "partial 18S ribosomal RNA". It matches the Rfam family "Eukaryotic small subunit ribosomal RNA", at positions 1155 to 1701 of the family's 1831-position model. The record is from RNAcentral.